UAAUGUUGGUUUAGAUUCAACAUGACUGUUUGAUGCCAAAGUUAGUUGGAACUCUAACUCAUACACAGAUAACCGUUGCUGCUGCUACCGUAUUACAGCCACAGCCAGGAAAAUUAUUCUUUUCUUCAGAAAAUUGUAAGUUUUAUUUUUUGUCUAGACCCCCCAUACCCCCAAUCUCAUCAGAUUUAUUUGUAUGUGAAGUGUAUCUAAUAAUCCAUUUCUCGUGAGUCGUGAUUUUAAGCCUCGGAAACAGAGUUCGGAUAGCAAUCCAUCCGUUCCGCACUGUCAAAUGUUUUGGCCGUCAGUAGGUGGCUAAAAAUUUGGUUCAUCCACCAGGUGACGCGAGUGUCUUCGUGAGGACGAAAAUUAGCCAUUUGUUUCCGAGACGCUGACUGAAAGUGUACUCCAAAUUUAUUAUCGGAAUUGCGGUGUCGAUCUACAUUUUCAGCCAUGAAAUGUAAUUGGCAAUCUGGCAUAUAAUUUCACUUGGGUCGAAACUGCUGUCCAUUUUGCCGAAAUGUCGGCGAUUGUUAGCUGUACCUAACUACCUAUUCGGCUCUACGUCUCAUCUCGUGCAGAAACACUUCAGAGCUUGUAAUAAAAGACAGAGAUCCGUUUGCUCAACUG
Long non-coding RNA from Daphnia pulex (common water flea), 627 nucleotides. RefSeq lists it as uncharacterized. The transcript has 3 exons. NCBI's taxonomy places the organism in Eukaryota, Metazoa, Arthropoda, Branchiopoda, Diplostraca, Daphniidae. The record is from RefSeq and is a predicted model, not a curated record.